This is a long non-coding RNA of Hippocampus comes (tiger tail seahorse), 373 nucleotides long. RefSeq lists it as uncharacterized. NCBI's taxonomy places the organism in Eukaryota, Metazoa, Chordata, Actinopteri, Syngnathiformes, Syngnathidae. The transcript is spliced from 2 exons. The record is from RefSeq and is a predicted model, not a curated record.
UCACUUAUCAGCCCCAAUCUAUAUUUCCCAUUUAAUAUCUGGAAUAAUUUGUGACAUUAAAAAUCAUUUUUAAAGGGGAUUAUUACCAUCGCGUGUACGGAUUUCCACAGAGAAAUGUAAAAAACGUGCUUGAAGUAGUUGCUGGGUUUUUUUUUUUUAUUAGAAAAUAUAUGGUUUCAUAUAUACGAUGUUCUCCUGCACAUGACUGCUUGCACAUCAGUUUAUUAACAAACAAAAGUAUCAUAUGUACAGGGGAAAAAAAGCAAUUUCUCCUGGGAUACAAAGGUGUUUUUUUUUUCUUUUUCAUAUGUGAACAUCCAGUUUGAGCUGUAAAUGAUAGCGCAGCAAAAUAAAUAAAUAUAGUUUAUUUUUU